AUAGAGUAUAUCAUCUAUGAAUUUCAUUUCAGAAUGGCAAAGAAUGUGUAAUAAAAUAGUAUAUAAAGGAGAUACUGGGUCUGAAGGGUUGGGAUCCACGGAUUUAGAGAAACAGCGGCAGUUUCCUCUGAAACAUUUUCAAACGCUUCUAUAAAAUCCUGACGAUGCCAAAUAUAGGCUGACCUUUGCUCAGUGGUGUUGCUAGUAAAUAUUUAACAACUGGCUCUCUGGGUGGGAGGUAGGAGAAGCCCUGAUUUGCAGUGUUUGCUGAUUUCCAUGGUGUAAAUACUCUGAUCAUAGCCAAUUUCAAGAAUCAUGUAACAUUUCAUCACCGGACAUAGAGUUGGGUAGAGAUACCAAAAAUUAGAUCCUGUGAACUUUUGCAGGUUAAAGCAGGAUAUUUCUGAGCCUAGCCAUCAUUUUGGGUUUUCGCUGUAUCUCCCCAUCCCAUUUUUUCAUCUGAAGGUCUUCCGGCAAAACUAGUGAGGCUCCUGAGCGCGUGACUCAGGAGUGACAAUCGCUAACAGAUGCAUUUGUACCCGGGCAGAACUGGCCUCUAAUUGUUGCUUGUAGGAGAAAAGGCAAAGCGACUGUAGCACCGCCGUUCUCUGUUGCUGGCAGAUAACAACCUCGAGAUGAAGCCACAUUUGCAGGGGAAAAAUUGCUUACGCCCACAGAAUGAAAUUUCAGGCUUUGACAGCUGCUAGGUUGGCCAGAGGUUGACUGAUAUAGACCAGGGAGCUCUGCUUCAAGUGGCAGAUCUGGCUGAAAAGUUCUUUGAAAGAAGGCUGGACUUCCUGGGGAAUGGAAAGUACGCAGACUGCUGAGAGAAACCGCGAUUCACUGCUGCUGAAUGUAUCACACAUCAGCCCACCUCCUGCCACUGCAACUCCGCACAGAGAACAGAACAGUCUCGCAGAGAAAGGAACAGUCUCAGGAGGAACCCAUUCAGCACCCGACUAAAAAAUGAUCUCAUAGGGGCGCCUGGGUGGCUCGGUCGGUUGAGCGUCCGACUUCGGCUCAGGUCAUGAUCUCACGGUCCGUGAGUUCGAGCCC
Molecule: long non-coding RNA, 1056 nt
Organism: Leopardus geoffroyi (Geoffroy's cat)
Lineage: Eukaryota; Metazoa; Chordata; Mammalia; Carnivora; Felidae
Exons: 6
Source: RefSeq, a predicted model, not a curated record